CCAUAUUUUUUUCCAGGAUAUUUUUGGAAAUGCAUUCAUCCAGACGGAGCUUAUUCAAGUAUAUCCUGCUUGCGUUUGCUUUUUACGAAGCACUGGCAAACGAAAAGUCAAAGAAUACGAGCAAUGACAAGUUGAUUACGAGAAGUGCCUUAGAAAACAUUGAUGGUAUGGGAAUUCGGGCUUCCAAUUUUCAUGAAUUGUACGAGUCUUUCGUGUAUGACGAUUUUUUUUCAAAUCGUAUCAAAUUCAGGAUGAUGCGAUAUCUUAUUUCUGAGCGACUUAAGAGUUGGAAAGUAGUUGGAAGUUCAAAAAACAAAUUUUCAAAAAGCAAAGAGAUGAAAACAAGAAUGUCUGAUGAAAACGGCAACAAGCCCAACUCACCGAAUUUGACAUCUACAGAAAGAAUAGACUCUGGAAAGAAUACACAUAAAAAUGUUUCUGAUGUCACGGUUACGGUAACCAUGGUAACUGCUGCAACUCGAUCGGCAGAUAUUUCUCAUUUACAGUCAAACAACAAACUUCCUCCUUCGUCUAAGCAUGGUAAACACAAGCGGUCUUUAAGGAAUAUGUUUUCGUUCAGGAGCAGAUUGUUUGGCACAGGAAGAGAGGUUUACUUCAGAAAAGAUCUUUUCGGAGUUUCAUGGCCUGUGGUGUAUAAGAUGUCUCCCCGCCGUCGUACAUAUGUGCCAUCAGUUUCCGCUUUAACGCCAUAUCGAGGCUCGUAUGGUAUUCUGGAUCCACUCGCAAGCAAUUUGAUUGGUUAAAAAGAUUUUACAAACAUCGAAACUUGAAUUUUAACUUGUUUGUGACUUAAUAAAUAGGACAAAGAUCAUUAA
Mytilus californianus (California mussel) is the source of this 836-nucleotide long non-coding RNA. RefSeq lists it as uncharacterized. The transcript has 2 exons. The record is from RefSeq and is a predicted model, not a curated record. Lineage: Eukaryota; Metazoa; Mollusca; Bivalvia; Mytilida; Mytilidae.